Molecule: ribosomal RNA, 440 nt
Filed under: uncultured bacterium
Lineage: Bacteria
Description: partial 16S ribosomal RNA
Rfam family: Bacterial small subunit ribosomal RNA
Source: RNAcentral
CCUACGGGAGGCUGCAGUGGGGGAUAUUGCACAAUGGGGGAAACCCUGAUGCAGCGACGCCGCGUGUGGGAAGACGGUCCUCUGGAUUGUAAACCACUGUCCCCAGGGACGAAGAUGACGGUACCUGGGGAGGAAGCUCCGGCAAACUACGUGCCAGCAGCCGAGGUAAUCCGUGGGGAGCGAGCGUUGUCCGGAAUUACUGGGUGUAAAGGGAGCGUAGGCGGGACUGCAAGUUGGGUGACAAAUCUACCGGCGCAAGCGGGAGCCGCCCGCGAAACUGCAGUUCUUGAGUGAAGUAGAGGCAGGCGGAAUUCCUAGUGUAGCGGUGAAAUGCGUAGAUAGUAGGAGGAACACCAGUGGCGAAGGCGGACUGCUGGGCUUUUACUGACGCUGAGGCUCGAAAGUGUGGGGAGCAAACAGGAUUAGAUACCCCUGUAGUC